GGUUUCAUAGUGUAGUGGUCAUCAUGUCUGAUUAACAUGCGGAAGUUCCUGUGUUCAAUCCCCACUGAAACCU
RNAcentral lists this transfer RNA (73 nucleotides) under Xenopus tropicalis (tropical clawed frog). Its description in RNAcentral is "Xenopus (Silurana) tropicalis (western clawed frog) tRNA". It matches the Rfam family "tRNA". Rfam says of the family: Transfer RNA (tRNA) molecules are approximately 80 nucleotides in length. The record is from Rfam by way of RNAcentral. Lineage: Eukaryota; Metazoa; Chordata; Amphibia; Anura; Pipidae.